CCCCUCUCAGGGUGGCAUCUGGAGAGUUUCCAGUACUUUACCAGUCUCGACUAAGGGAGGGAGAGUCAAGCAGAGGAAUAGCCAUUGCAUUCCUAGCUUGGGCGGUGGUUAGCGAGUGGAAGGCAAUCCGCUACAAAC
Molecule: small nucleolar RNA, 138 nt
Organism: Ornithorhynchus anatinus (platypus)
Lineage: Eukaryota; Metazoa; Chordata; Mammalia; Monotremata; Ornithorhynchidae
Source: RefSeq, a predicted model, not a curated record